UACAGAGGGUGCGAGCGUUGUCCGGAAUCACUGGGCGUAAAGGGCGCGUAGGUGGUGGCUUAAGCGUGCGGUGAAAGCUCGGGGCUCAACCCCGAGUCGGCCGUGCGAACUGGGCUCACUGGAGCAUAGUAGAGGCAGGUGGAAUUCCGGGUGUAGCGGUGGAAUGCGUAGAGAUCGGGAGGAAUACCUAUGGCGAAAGCAGGCUUCUGGGCCAUCACUGACACUGAUCUGCGAAAGCUAGGGGAGCAAACAGG
Molecule: ribosomal RNA, 254 nt
Filed under: uncultured bacterium
Lineage: Bacteria
Description: partial 16S ribosomal RNA
Rfam family: Bacterial small subunit ribosomal RNA
Source: RNAcentral